Molecule: ribosomal RNA, 263 nt
Filed under: Paenibacillus soyae
Lineage: Bacteria; Bacillati; Bacillota; Bacilli; Caryophanales; Paenibacillaceae
Description: partial 16S ribosomal RNA
Rfam family: Bacterial small subunit ribosomal RNA
Source: RNAcentral
UCGGGUGGGCACUCUAAAGUGACUGCCGGUGACAAACCGGAGGAAGGUGGGGAUGACGUCAAAUCAUCAUGCCCCUUAUGACCUGGGCUACACACGUACUACAAUGGCCAGUACAACGGGAAGCGAAGUCGCGAGAUGGAGCCAAUCCUAUCAAAGCUGGUCUCAGUUCGGAUUGCAGGCUGCAACUCGCCUGCAUGAAGUCGGAAUUGCUAGUAAUCGCGGAUCAGCAUGCCGCGGUGAAUACGUUCCCGGGUCUUGUACAC